GAUGAACGCUGGCGGCGUGCCUAAUACAUGCAAGUCGAGCGAACAGAUGAGGAGCUUGCUCCUCUGACGUUAGCGGCGGACGGGUGAGUAACACGUGGAUAACCUACCUAUAAGACUGGGAUAACUUCGGGAAACCGGAGCUAAUACCGGAUAAUAUAUUGAACCGCAUGGUUCAAUAGUGAAAGACGGUUUUGCUGUCACUUAUAGAUGGAUCCGCGCCGCAUUAGCUAGUUGGUAAGGUAACGGCUUACCAAGGCAACGAUGCGUAGCCGACCUGAGAGGGUGGUCGGCCACACUGGAACUGAGACACGGUCCAGACUCCUACGGGAGGCAGCAGUAGGGAAUCUUCCGCAAUGGGCGAAAGCCUGACGGAGCAACGCCGCGUGAGUGAUGAAGGUCUUCGGAUCGUAAAGCUCUGUUAUUAGUGGAGAACAAAUGUGUAAGUAACUAUGCACGUCUUGACGGUACCUAAUCAGAAAGCCACGGCUAACUACGUG
Molecule: ribosomal RNA, 497 nt
Filed under: uncultured bacterium
Lineage: Bacteria
Description: partial 16S ribosomal RNA
Rfam family: Bacterial small subunit ribosomal RNA
Source: RNAcentral